GUUAUAUGUGACGUCGUCUUUGAAAACCGGUCCAGAUGCGGCAUGACGUAAUAUCGAGAAACGACGUUUAAAGUUGCGCCAAGUUUACGCGCGCAGCUUUCUUACACAUGUUUUAAUUAGCAAAAGUUUGACCGUUUAAGUACGACUGCCUGUUACAUGAUUGAUGACAGCCUACUACAGAAAGAAUAUUUAGACAUCAGACCUGUAAAAAAAUAGUGGUAUUACGCCUGAGGCAAAAUAAUUCUUUGAAAAUCAGUUGUUUCCCCUUCGCUAUGUUUCCGGUUUCGGACAGGGAAGCAUGUGAUGUUUACUUUUGUUUAACUACCUUUUGUUCAACGAUGAAGGGAUCUGAGACUUGUAAUACUGUUUACUGAUUUGAUGAUAUUCCUUGUUCCUUUGAUGGUUCAUUCCACUAUACAGCUGGUUCAUAUACCAUACAACAGCCAGGAAAUUGGCCUGUUUACUUUAAGAUCCCAAGAAAAUGUAACAUAUUUUGGAUGUGCUUUGAGGAAUCAGGAAUGGAAGUGUUUCCUCUUGUUUAUGAAGCAACUCAGUUGGUUAAGGGGCAGACAACUUGUGAGCAUGGUACAUCACUACCUGUAUUGGUAUUCCAUUUUGACAAUGUUACUAGCUAGAAUAGAAAUAACAUCUUGCUGUGGUACAGUCUGUGGAGAUUUUUACUAGGUAACAACCAUUUUUGAUAGCUGUUAAAACAGUGUAUACUUUUAACCCUUAGGCUGCAUGAGGCAGCUAUGUCUGUCUUUGCAACCAGUGCAGAUCAAGAUCAACCUGCACAUCUGUGCAGUCUGAUCAUGAUCUGCAGUGUUUGAUA
Molecule: long non-coding RNA, 832 nt
Organism: Mercenaria mercenaria
Lineage: Eukaryota; Metazoa; Mollusca; Bivalvia; Venerida; Veneridae
Exons: 3
Source: RefSeq, a predicted model, not a curated record